Molecule: ribosomal RNA, 406 nt
Filed under: uncultured bacterium
Lineage: Bacteria
Description: partial 16S ribosomal RNA
Rfam family: Bacterial small subunit ribosomal RNA
Source: RNAcentral
AUUGAACGCUGGCGGCAGGCCUAACACAUGCAAGUCGAGCGAGCGGCGGACGGGUGAGUAAUGUCUGGGAAACUGCCUGAUGGAGGGGGAUAACUACUGGAAACGGUAGCUAAUACCGCAUACCAUCAGAUGUGCCCAGAUGGGAUUAGCUAGUAGGUGGGGUAAUGGCUCACCUGGGCGACGAUCCCUAGCUGGUCUGAGAGGAUGACCAGACAAACGCGAACUGAGACAAGGUCCAGACUCCUACGUGAGGUAGCAUUGGGGAAUAUUGCACAAUGGGCGCAAGCCUGAUGCAGCCAUGCCGCGUGGAUGAAGAAGGCCUUCGGGUUGUAAAGUACUUUCAGCGGGGAGGCGGUACUCGCAGAAGAAGCACCGGCUAACUCCGUGCCAGCAGCCGCGGUAAUUC